RNAcentral lists this ribosomal RNA (627 nucleotides) under Triticum aestivum (bread wheat). RNAcentral's name for it is "partial small subunit ribosomal RNA". Lineage: Eukaryota; Viridiplantae; Streptophyta; Magnoliopsida; Poales; Poaceae. The record is from RNAcentral.
AUGCCCAUUGGUGUUCCAAAAGUACCUUACCGGAUUCCCAGAGAUGAAGAAGCGACUUGGGUUGACUUAUACAAUGUUAUGUAUCAAGAAAGGACACUUUUUUUAGUUCACUGCCCUAUACAUAGAAAGAAGUGCUUUUCCACCGGUAUCAACAUUCUAUCUGGAAUCAGUAGCGAUAAUUGUUGUAUUGUGAGCCAGCCCCGUAAGGAAUUUGUGGCGCUUUAUCAAAGAGUAGGGCCUUAUCUACCGAUCGAGCCCUACUUGGUCGAUGAAGCGCUUCGUUCCUAUCUGGACCAUAUUCACGCAACUGAUUCUUUCACUGUUCUCCCAGCAUCUUAUCAAGAUCUGCGGGAGAAUGAGGGAGGAUCCAUUUUCUUUCGAAAUGCCGUUUCCCACAACCAGGUUCUCCUUGAGGCGGAAAGCUCCGCAAGGAGGUGCCUGGAAGUGGAACAGAGGAUCCGGUGGGAAGAAAUCCCCAAGAACAAGGAAAGUCUCGAAAGAGCUGAGCACGAGCAUGCUCUCGACUUGUUUAAGUCAGAGGAUCUUAGAAGGGAAUUAGAAAAAAAAAGAGCGGGUAGCUCAGUAAUUCUGAUUCUUUUCUCUUCCAGCCCCCCGGCCCCUCUUUGA